UGAGUUUGAUCCUGGCUCAGAUUGAACGCUGGCGGCAUGCCUUACACAUGCAAGUCGAACGGCAGCACGGGUGCUUGCACCUGGUGGCGAGUGGCGAACGGGUGAGUAAUACAUCGGAACAUGUCCUGUAGUGGGGGAUAGCCCGGCGAAAGCCGGAUUAAUACCGCAUACGAUCUACGGAUGAAAGCGGGGGACCUUCGGGCCUCGCGCUAUAGGGUUGGCCGAUGGCUGAUUAGCUAGUUGGUGGGGUAAAGGCCUACCAAGGCGACGAUCAGUAGCUGGUCUGAGAGGACGACCAGCCACACUGGGACUGAGACACGGCCCAGACUCCUACGGGAGGCAGCAGUGGGGAAUUUUGGACAAUGGGCGAAAGCCUGAUCCAGCAAUGCCGCGUGUGUGAAGAAGGCCUUCGGGUUGCAAAGCACUUUUGUCCGGAAAGAAAUCCUUGGCUCUAAUACAGUCGGGGGAUGACGGUACCGGAAGAAUAAGCACCGGCUAACUACGUGCCAGCAGCCGCGGUAAUACGUAGGGUGCGAGCGUUAAUCGGAAUUACUGGGCGUAAAGCGUGCGCAGGCGGUUUGCUAAGACCGAUGUGAAAUCCCCGGGCUCAACCUGGGAACUGCAUUGGUGACUGGCAGGCUAGAGUAUGGCAGAGGGGGGUAGAAUUCCACGUGUAGCAGUGAAAUGCGUAGAGAUGUGGAGGAAUACCGAUGGCGAAGGCAGCCCCCUGGGCCAAUACUGACGCUCAUGCACGAAAGCGUGGGGAGCAAACAGGAUUAGAUACCCUGGUAGUCCACGCCCUAAACGAUGUCAACUAGUUGUUGGGGAUUCAUUUCCUUAGUAACGUAGCUAACGCGUGAAGUUGACCGCCUGGGGAGUACGGUCGCAAGAUUAAAACUCAAAGGAAUUGACGGGGACCCGCACAAGCGGUGGAUGAUGUGGAUUAAUUCGAUGCAACGCGAAAAACCUUACCUACCCUUGACAUGGUCGGAAUCCUGCUGAGAGGCGGGAGUGCUCGAAAGAGAACCGGCGCACAGGUGCUGCAUGGCUGUCGUCAGCUCGUGCCGUGAGAUGUUGGGUUAAGUCCCGCAACGAGCGCAACCCUUGUCCUUAGUUGCUACGCAAGAGCACUCUAAGGAGACUGCCGGUGACAAACCGGAGGAAGGUGGGGAUGACGUCAAGUCCUCAUGGCCCUUAUGGGUAGGGCUUCACACGUCAUACAAUGGUCGGAACAGAGGGUUGCCAACCCGCGAGGGGGAGCUAAUCCCAGAAAACCGAUCGUAGUCCGGAUUGCACUCUGCAACUCGAGUGCAUGAAGCUGGAAUCGCUAGUAAUCGCGGAUCAGCAUGCCGCGGUGAAUACGUUCCCGGGUCUUGUACACACCGCCCGUCACACCAUGGGAGUGGGUUUUACCAGAAGUGGCUAGUCUAACCGCAAGGAGGACGGUCACCACGGUAGGAUUCAUGACUGGGGUGAAGUCGUAACAAGGUAAAUG
Molecule: ribosomal RNA, 1495 nt
Filed under: uncultured beta proteobacterium
Lineage: Bacteria; Pseudomonadati; Pseudomonadota; Betaproteobacteria
Description: bacterial SSU rRNA
Rfam family: Bacterial small subunit ribosomal RNA
Source: RNAcentral